This 3329-nucleotide long non-coding RNA is filed under the name Capsicum annuum. RNAcentral describes it as "long non-coding RNA (CANN_LNC012942)". Lineage: Eukaryota; Viridiplantae; Streptophyta; Magnoliopsida; Solanales; Solanaceae. The record is from RNAcentral.
UCUACAUAUUAUAUCAACGUGGUAUAAAAGUGUAUCAAUCUAGGAUAAAAGUGUAUCAGUGCGGUAUCAAAGUGUAUCAAUAUAGUAUAAAACUGUAUCAAUAUGGUAUAAAAGUGUAUCAAUUGGGUAUAGAGACUGCAUGCAACCGACGAGUCAAAUGGCCAAAAAUCGGAAUUAAAUUGGGCCGACUGGCUCCAAUUGUUCAACUUUUAAAAUUGCUAGCCAUUUCUUUUCAAAAUGGUUAACCCAUGUCCUUUUUCCAUUAUUAAAACUAAAAAUUACACAAAUACACAACUUAUGUUUUCAAUAUUACAAAAAAUCCCAACUCCCUAAACAUAUUACAAAAAUUCCAACAUAUAUAUAGAAUGUUAUGUAUAUGUUGGUUAUGUUAUGUAUAUUAAUAGAGAGAGAGAGUAAAGUAAUUAAAAAAGUGGGAGAGAGUGUAAUUACUUCCAAAAGGGUUGGUAUUUAUGUUAUUUAUAUUUAUACUUAUUAAAAUCAUAGCUCAGCUCUAUCAAAUUACAGGCUAGAUCCAGCCGAACCAACGGGCCUGGUCAUAUCGAGGGCCCUAGAUUCAACAUUUGCUCAAGGAUUUGAUGGUGGUACUCUUUUCAUGUAAUCAAUCAGAUGCAUGUACGACCCUUUUUAUUUAUGAUCCUCGGUGUUCCAUAUCCUCUCUCAAUAUGAUCCUCUUUGCCUGAAUUAAUUUAUAGUAGUAGUUUUUAUCUAUAAUUUCACUAUAUAUCUAUAUAUAUACACACACAUUGUGUAUGAUCUGUAGUUAUUUUGAGCUUAAAAUUGUGUGCACGCAUAAUACAUUUUUAUUCUUGAAUUAUGUUAUGUAUGUAUUAGUUGAGUAGUGUGAUUUAUUUGUAAGGAAUCACACACAUUAGAUGCUAGAAUUUAAUCUAAAAAUUAAAGUUUAAAAAUAGAGAACUUAGAGAAAUUAUCAUAUGAUAUUAUUCUUUAUGUGAUAAUAUUCCGUAGCAGGUGUGUACGUGUUUAUCCGUAAAAACGAAUAUGCUGGUUGAGAUUUUCAAAUGCUUCUGUAAAUUUGGAAAAUAGAUGUUCCCUUCUGAAAUUUAAAAGAUUAACCGCAGUGCUAAAAAUAUUAACAUAUGAGCUAUUCUCUCUAGUUUAUAUUAACUUAAUUUGUGAGUCCUUUUUCAUUGUUCAUAAUAAUUUAAUUGUUCAAUCUUUAAGAGUGUUACUGAAAAUUUAUUUCAUGAAUUUAGGGUCUAUCAUGAAAUUCACUUGAAUAAAGCAUGGGGAAACUUAAAUUCAUGGCAUAAGGAAUUCAACAUCUUGCAUGGAAUCACAGGACUGAAUUGAAUUAAAAACACUAUGAAAUCAUGAAACUAAAUAUUUCUUGAACAUACAAAACUCCAUAAUAAGAAUAAAAUUUUAUUCUUUAAUUGAAAAAAGGGUUUUGGGACUCCAUGGGUGAAAGGAGCCCAUGAAUGAUCUCCCACAUACCUUAAAAGUUGGAUUUGAUGUAGAAGCUUGAAUUUUGAAUUUCUAAUGAUGUUUUUGAAGCUUCUUCUUGAAGUUCUUGAAUUAGGAAGCUUGGGUGUUCUUGCUUUUCUCAAAGAAAAUUUAAUGAAGUUCUUGGUGUUCUUGAGGGGGCUAGAGUUUUCUUGGAGAGAAAAAGAUGAAUAAUAAUGUAUCUAAUCCAUUUGGGACUGGAAUAAAUGUUAUGGACGGGUUUGGGUGAAGGACUAGACCCUUUUGGAACUGAAAUAGCGUGUGAAACAGCUCGAUAUUGUGUUGGCCAUCGUGUCGCAAUCGCGUCGGUUUACUAGCAUUAAUAAGUAUAUGAUAAUUCCUCUUUAAUAAGCUAAUUAUCCCCUUUUUAAACUUCAAUUUUUAGAUUAAUAUUAUAUUACCUUAUUAGUCUAGUAAUUAUUUUACUAGCAUUACCUUCUGCAAUGUACUUCAGUAAUGUAUGUGAUUACUUAAUUCAGCUGACAAAGCAAGUUAUUGAUCUAUUGAAACAUACAUCUUUAUUUUGUUUGUUUGUCAAUUAUUUUCACAUUUCUGAUUAAUCAAGUCAGAAGCAUGUAGUUAAUGCUUUGAGGUUAGGUAAGUUACAGAUCAAUCAUCCAAAUUACAACAUCCAAAACUAAUACGUACCAAGCACAAUUCCAGAACAAAAAUAUAUUAUGUGUUAGCAUAAUUAUUCUAAUAACUAAAUGAUGGCAUGCAGAUCAUACACACAAAGAGUAUGUCUGUAGUAUAUAUACAUGCCAGUCGCAUGGGUAGUGAAAUGAUAGAUAAAAAUUACUAUUACUAUAAAUUAAUUCAGACAGAGGGGAUCAUAUUGAGAAUAGCGACCUAGGCGUUUUACAUAUUCAAAUAGUUUUGAAAAAUUGUCAACUAGCUAGUUAAUUAGCAUGGAGAGUCAUCAUCUAUGUAUUAUAAUAUUAGUUAUAAUAGCUAUGAUUUGUAGCAAUGUUUCAAGCCAACACUAUCAAUUGAUGCAAUACGUUUUACAAUGGCCUCCAACUUAUUGCCAAAUGAAACAGUGCAAACAUGGUGCCCCAUUAAAAUUUACUAUCCAUGUUCUCUGGCCAGCUUCUACCUCAGGAAAAGCAUACAAUGCAAAUGCAGCAAUCCUAGAGUCGAAGACUUGAAAAUAGACGUUGUUGUAAGUGUUUAUCUUUUUUAGUAAUGAAGAGAAGAACAAAAUAACACACAAAAAAAUGUGCAUUGUGAGUAAAAAAGAUACACUUACAACAACGUCUACUUUCAGGCCUUCGGCUCUCAAAGGCGGAGUAAGAAUUUCAACGAAGGUGGUUUCAUAUUCAAGGAAAACUUAGGAUUUCAACUAAGGGGGUUCCAUAUUUAAAGAAAACUUAGUCGAAGGGGGUUCAACACCAACUAUAACCACAUAAAAAAUAAUUUUAGUCAUGUAUAAAUAGUAUAUUUUUUCGUCGAAGGGGAUUCGGCCGAACCCCCAAACAGAAGGCUGGCUCCGCCCCUGUCGGCUCUAGGAUUACUGCAUUUGCAUUGUAUGAUCUUCCCCGAGCUAGAAAAUGGCUAGAGGCCAUGGAUAGUAAACUAUAAUGGUGCACCAGGUUUGCACUGUUUCAUUUGGCAAUAUGUUGGAGGCCAUUCUAAAACGUAUUGCAUCAGUUGAUAGCAUUGACUUGAAACUUUGCUACAAAUCAUAGUUAUAACUAGGAUUAUAAUAAAUAGAUGACAACUCUCCAUGCCAAUUAACUAACUAGUUGACAAUUUUGUAAAGCUAUUUGAAUAUGUAAAAAGCCGAGGUCACUAUUCUCUCAAUAUAUACGAUCCCCUCUGCCUGAAUUAAUUUAUAGUAAUAG